AGUGAGCGCUCAUCACGGCCCCACCCGACGGCACCCGGUUGUUGUCCAGGCCCAGGGCUUCGGGAGAACACGUUUCUGUCUCCUCGGCCCUCAGGUAGGACAUUUCAGUGGCACCGCACACUGACCCGGACACACGCGUAUGCGGAAUUCAACCCGACGCAAACCUCAGCGGUCUGCUUUCUUCUGGAACUCCCAUCUGGAAUCCCUUUUCUCAUCUCCAUCCUCCUCAGGACCUCGCGCUCAGAAACACACUGUGUCACACUCAUCCACCUUCUCCCGGCUCCGUUCACCCUUCUUCACCUCCUAACACUCCCCGGAUCCUGUGCCGCUCAAAGUGAGUCUUCCACACCUCGGCCUCCCCAGAACCCAAGGGCUGAGAGGACGCCGCCUCCUGCCAGCUCUCCAGGCCACUCGGGGACGCGGCUCGCGGCGCCCCUCCCUAGGCGUUCAGCUCCCCGGGCGUCUGGGUCCCUUCACCUUUCAGGCCUUGCUUUGCUUAGCAUCGUGUCUGACGCCAAGCAGCUUCUCAACGAGCAGAAGGAGGAGGAGAGGACCACAAGGUGACCUUUUCCUGGACCCCGUGGCUCUGGAGCAGUUCUCUGGCCCUGGGACACAGCCUUCUCUUCCACCUGCCGAUGCACAACAAGUCUUUCCCACCCUGUGUGUGUGCGCUGGGGUAGGGUGU
RNAcentral lists this long non-coding RNA (685 nucleotides) under Bos indicus x Bos taurus (hybrid cattle). RNAcentral's name for it is "lncRNA (ENSBIXG00005029606.1)". The record is from RNAcentral. Lineage: Eukaryota; Metazoa; Chordata; Mammalia; Artiodactyla; Bovidae.